Molecule: ribosomal RNA, 433 nt
Filed under: uncultured bacterium
Lineage: Bacteria
Description: partial 16S ribosomal RNA
Rfam family: Bacterial small subunit ribosomal RNA
Source: RNAcentral
AACGAACGCUGGCGGCAGGCCUAACACAUGCAAGUCGAGCGAGGACUUCGGUUCUAGCGGCGGACGGGUGAGUAACGCGUGGGAAUGUGCCCUUCUCUACGGAAUAGCCCUGGGAAACUGGGAGUAAUACCGUAUACGCCCUAUUGGGGAAAGAUUUAUCGGAGAAGGGUCAGCCCGCGUUGGAUUAGGUAGUUGGUGGGGUAAUGGCCUACCAAGCCGACGAUCCAUAGCUGGUUUGAGAGGAUGAUCAGCCACACUGGGACUGAGACACGGCCCAGACUCCUACGGGAGGCAGCAGUGGGGAAUCUUAGACAAUGGGGGCAACCCUGAUCUAGCCAUGCCGCGUGAGUGAUGAAGGCCUUAGGGUUGUAAAGCUCUUUCAGCUGGGAAGAUAAUGACGGUACCAGCAGAAGAAGCCCCGGCUAACUCCGUG